AACGAACGCUGGCGGCGCGUCUUAAGCAUGCAAGUCGAAUGGCAAGAUUGGUGCUUGCACCGAUCCUAGAAUGGCAGACUGGUGAGUAACACGUGGGUGACAUACCCUUUGGAUGGGGACAGCUACUAGAAAUAGUAGGUAAUACCGAAUAAGCUUAUAUUAGUUAGAGAGGUAUAAGGAAAGGUGCUACGGCACCGCCAAAGGAAUGGCUCGCGGCCCAUUAGCUAGUUGGUAAGGUAACGGCCUACCAAGGCAAUGAUGGGUAUCCGGCCUAAGAGGGUAAACGGACACAUUGGGACUGAGAUACGGCCCAG
Molecule: ribosomal RNA, 314 nt
Filed under: uncultured bacterium
Lineage: Bacteria
Description: bacterial SSU rRNA
Rfam family: Bacterial small subunit ribosomal RNA
Source: RNAcentral